UGAAGAGUUUGAUCAUGGCUCAGAUUGAACGCUGGCGGCAGGCCUAACACAUGCAAGUCGAACGGUAACAGGAAGCAGCUUGCUGCUUCGCUGACGAGUGGCGGACGGGUGAGUAAUGUCUGGGAAACUGCCUGAUGGAGGGGGAUAACUACUGGAAACGGUGGCUAAUACCGCAUAACGUCGCAAGACCAAAGAGGGGGACCUUCGGGCCUCUUGCCAUCAGAUGUGCCCAGAUGGGAUUAGCUAGUUGGUGAGGUAACGGCUCACCAAGGCGACGAUCCCUAGCUGGUCUGAGAGGAUGACCAGCCACACUGGAACUGAGACACGGUCCAGACUCCUACGGGAGGCAGCAGUGGGGAAUAUUGCACAAUGGGCGCAAGCCUGAUGCAGCCAUGCCGCGUGUAUGAAGAAGGCCUUCGGGUUGUAAAGUACUUUCAGCGGGGAGGAAGGUGUUGUGGUUAAUAACCGCAGCAAUUGACGUUACCCGCAGAAGAAGCACCGGCUAACUCCGUGCCAGCAGCCGCGGUAAUACGGAGGGUGCAAGCGUUAAUCGGAAUUACUGGGCGUAAAGCGCACGCAGGCGGUCUGUCAAGUCGGAUGUGAAAUCCCCGGGCUCAACCUGGGAACUGCAUUCGAAACUGGCAGGCUUGAGUCUUGUAGAGGGGGGUAGAAUUCCAGGUGUAGCGGUGAAAUGCGUAGAGAUCUGGAGGAAUACCGGUGGCGAAGGCGGCCCCCUGGACAAAGACUGACGCUCAGGUGCGAAAGCGUGGGGAGCAAACAGGAUUAGAUACCCUGGUAGUCCACGCCGUAAACGAUGUCUACUUGGAGGUUGUGCCCUUGAGGCGUGGCUUCCGGAGCUAACGCGUUAAGUAGACCGCCUGGGGAGUACGGCCGCAAGGUUAAAACUCAAAUGAAUUGACGGGGGCCCGCACAAGCGGUGGAGCAUGUGGUUUAAUUCGAUGCAACGCGAAGAACCUUACCUGGUCUUGACAUCCACAGAACUUUCCAGAGAUGGAUUGGUGCCUUCGGGAACUGUGAGACAGGUGCUGCAUGGCUGUCGUCAGCUCGUGUUGUGAAAUGUUGGGUUAAGUCCCGCAACGAGCGCAACCCUUAUCCUUUGUUGCCAGCGAUUAGGUCGGGAACUCAAAGGAGACUGCCAGUGAUAAACUGGAGGAAGGUGGGGAUGACGUCAAGUCAUCAUGGCCCUUACGACCAGGGCUACACACGUGCUACAAUGGCGCAUACAAAGAGAAGCGACCUCGCGAGAGCAAGCGGACCUCAUAAAGUGCGUCGUAGUCCGGAUUGGAGUCUGCAACUCGACUCCAUGAAGUCGGAAUCGCUAGUAAUCGUGGAUCAGAAUGCCACGGUGAAUACGUUCCCGGGCCUUGUACACACCGCCCGUCACACCAUGGGAGUGGGUUGCAAAAGAAGUAGGUAGCUUAACCUUCGGGAGGGCGCUUACCACUUUGUGAUUCAUGACUGGGGUGAAGUCGUAACAAGGUAACCGUAGGGGAACCUGCGGUUGGAUCACCUCCUUACCUUAAAGAAGC
Molecule: ribosomal RNA, 1550 nt
Filed under: Salmonella enterica
Lineage: Bacteria; Pseudomonadati; Pseudomonadota; Gammaproteobacteria; Enterobacterales; Enterobacteriaceae
Also listed under: 2 other names
Description: bacterial SSU rRNA
Rfam family: Bacterial small subunit ribosomal RNA
Source: RNAcentral